Rhineura floridana is the source of this 4319-nucleotide long non-coding RNA. RefSeq lists it as uncharacterized. The transcript is spliced from 4 exons. Lineage: Eukaryota; Metazoa; Chordata; Lepidosauria; Squamata; Rhineuridae. The record is from RefSeq and is a predicted model, not a curated record.
CAAACUGCAGGCUUUAUCUUCUCUGUUGUCCUCCUUCUACCUUACCUGGAUUUUCCUUUUCUCGCAGGCAGGCCCGGUGCCUUGAACCACGCUGUCGAGGACAGUGACCAGCCCAGCGUCUGGAGCCACAAAGCACGAGUUCCUGGCCACCCUGAUGGCCUCCUCAAUCUCUGCGAAGCGGAAAAUACAGAGCGCCGAGGGCUGGGACGCCGGUCGGCCGCCAAAACCUAUCCCGCCGACGGCGGAGGCUUUCUCAAACACGCCGAACAGCAGCUCCUCAGGCUGAGGCGGGGAAGGGCUUCCCGAGCCAACCUGCAGGGCGGCGCUGGCGGGAAACACCGACACCAGCCGGUUGAAGAGGUCGCCGCCAGACGUCGUUGCCCCACCGUGCCCGGCGCCGCUGUUGCACUGCAGCCCCAUUUGGAUGUAGGACUCGGUCAGCUUCUUGGUCUCCACGCCGCCGCCACCGCCGCCACCACUGCUGCCGUUUAGGGUCGUCGCCUCAGCCGCGUCCCCCAAGCAGAUGCGGGCCAGCAGGCUGUGCGAAUGGCUCUCUUUUUCCCGCGCAUUCGCCUCGCUGUUGAGGGCCAAGUAGGCAUAGGAUCCCAGAGGGCGGCUCAGAGGAGCGCCUGCCGGAGGCGAAAGGGGAAGGGAGCCCGGCGGGCGGCUGUUCCUGACAGGGGCGCCCCCAGGUAGAAGGGACCCUCCUGCCCCAGCCUGGGGUCUCCGGCCGCUAGGGGCGCCCUUUUCCUCCUCAGGGCGAGAAGGCGGCGGCGGCCGGGCUCCACUGUGGAGGAAGGCGCGGACGAAGCUCAGCUUGUGGCGGUCCUUGGCGCCCUGCUUGAUCUUGAAGAUGUUGUCGUCGGAGGGGUUGAUGUCGAAGGUGAAGAGCCGGGCUAAGUCCCCGCGGGCGUUGAGAGCCCGGAUAGCGAUUUCGGGCGUGUUCUCGAAGCGGUGGUCCUCCAGGCUGGCGUUGCGCGGGAAAAAAGGGCUGCCCAAGCCCGUGUAAGUGGCGGCCACCAGUAGCCUCGUGUCUUGCCCAGCCUGCUUAAGCACCAAGCCCACGGUGGAGGCAUUGGCGUGGUUGGCCGCCACGUUGAGCAUGCUGGGGAAGACCGUGACCUGGUCUCCUCCUGCUGCUGCGUCUCCUCCAUCUGCCCCAGGUGGGAAGGCGACGGCCACCACGGAGAUAUUAUCCAUGCUGCGCAGCUGACAGAAGCCUUGGUAGACCGAGCCGCAGACCACCAGAAUGCCUUGCUCCGGGUCCGGCUGUAGCAGCUUGUUGUAGUUGUCGGUCGGCUUCUUGGCGUGCUCACAGGACGCCUGGGGCAGCUGAGGAGCGUGGCACAGCGGGUUGUCCUCCUCCGGGCCCACCUGCUCUUCUACCUCCAGGGUCAGGUUGGGGCCGGAGAGUUGGUAGAGCCGGUUGACGGCCGCCAGGUAGAUCCUGCCUCCCGACCCAUCCAGAGCGAAGUUGUUGGUGGCGGUGGGCGAGACGAACUUGCGCUGCACUUCCAGCCCUGGCACCGGGAGCAACGGGAGAAGGAGCAGGAGAGAGAAGGCAGGGGGGCGAUCCGGGGACAGCACCUGGUUAGCGCCUAGCCGACCGCGCGGAAAAAACAUCCUGCCUCCUGGGCUGCUGUUCUACACAGAGCAUGAGGCUCCUUGGCAAAGGGGGCUUUGCAAUCACCAGGAAAGGAAAGAGAGAGAGGAAAAGAGCAAAGCACGAGAGAGGAAGACCUGUUUCCUGUAGAGGAUCUAACACGCCACAGCCCCGGAGUGACGCCAGGAGGUUCAGGAGCCUACGAGAAAUGCACUGAUUGUAGCAAGCUGCAGGAAAUGGCAGUGGAUUGUUGUCAUUCAGCUCUUCAGCUCUCUACAUUCAGGAAUUAUAGCAAUGGCUACCCCAAAAUCCACAGCUCUUCAUUCUGGGUAGUGGGACAAACUGGGCACAGAGGACAGUGGUGACAGUUGCAAAGAGAACUUUUGAGAACUGGAGGAGAACCACGCCAGAGGCACAGGGCCAAACUAGGCAUGACAGCUGCAGUGCAGUCUGAUUCCAUUUCUGCCCCAUUCACAUGAAAAGUGUGCGCGCAAUUUUUAACAUUAUUAAAGGAACACACGGCUGAGGGACAAAGUCAUUUCUGGUUUGCCAGGGAAAAAAGUUUGGGCGGUUGACCACAGGGAGAAGCAGGGGAGAGGAAAGCAGCUUUUUUCAUUCAUGUGGUCACACCCUGAGAUAUGAUUAAACAAAUGUGGCUCAGCUGGUUUUAUGAGUAGUCUGUUUCACAGAAGCUGGAUUUCCACUCUAAAGCAUAAAAUAUAAGAUAAGCUUUGCUGGAUCAGACCAAAGGCCUAACUAGUCCAGCAUCCUGUUUUCCACAGUAAUCAACCAGAUGCCAGUGAGAGGCCCACAAAUGGGACAUGUGGGUAAGUGUCACCAAGGGAGGGAAGAUUUGCCUCCAUCAUGGGAUGAGUGUAAUCCAGUUGCUCAGCUGCAUUUCCUUGCCUCACAAAUCCUCAGUGGGAGCUAUUGUCCAGCAACUACCAGCAACACAAGACUUGCUUUCAUUAUGGGCUUAGCUAGUUCCAGCCACCUGUCUCCACUUCUUGGUCUUGCAGAACCACAGUGGGCUCUCUUGCUUUGUACUCAGAGGUCAAAAGACAACAAUCAGGGAAGACCAAGGACAAGGGCAGGAAAUGCCACAUGCUGGCAGCAUAGGGACACCUUGUUAUUUCUGUUCCUGAUACUAGAUUUGAAUGUGAUUUUUACUGUAUUAAUCUUUUGUAAACUGCUUUAAGAGCCUCUUAGAGCUAUGAAGUGGGAUACAAAUAUUCUAAAUAAUAGCCCUGUUCUGCUGUUGUUCUCCAAGGAUGCUAUCUGUGGUCCUGGAGAUAUAGUCAUUAUGAUUAGUAGCCACUGAAAGAAGAUACUGUGUACCCUCUACUUGAAAUUGGUAACUAGAUAAGAUCUGUACCCUGUUCCUUAACCUAUAUAUAAUAGUGUAUAUAUAUAUAUAUAUAUAUGCAUAGUAUAUAUGAUCUGUGAGAGUCAUUAGCCAGCAUACUGUUUUAUGUUUAUUUUCUUAAACGUCACAUUUUAUGUUUCUUUCUAUUUUCCUUAAAUACAUGUAAAGAUAUGCCUUGGGAAUUCGGUGUAUCUGACCUAAGCUCCCUUGAGUCUUUCCUUGUUUAAUUCUACUGCUUUAGGAGUUGACUGAUGAGAAAGAACUUGUAUAAACUUUUCUAGUUUCAGGUACCCCUGUUUGUUUUUCCAGGUAUCCUUUACUUACUCAAGAGAAAUAUAUGGUAAUGUGGGAGCAACAAAGCCCUGCAUUUAUGAAUUAGUAUGAUUUUUAAGAAAACCUAUUUCUGUAACUAUGCAUUAAAAGCCAUUCUAGAAUUGGGUCUGAAUUGGAAAAAACCAACAUGCUGCUUUAACUAGACCAGGCACUGGCCUGGGGCCUAUUAUUCCAGAAUCAUAUGUUGUAGAUUGUUCAGACAGAGAAACUGAGAAGUCGUGGAGUAAAAAAAAUUCUAGUUUGUCCCACAUCAGUUACCAUCAGUUAUUACACACAAGCACUUUAUACUAAAAUUGAUUAAUAUUUUUAUCAAAUAUUAUUUUGUAUAGAAUCCAUUUUCAACCAUGUAGCUCACUGGGUUCCCUGUGAAAGUCACUCUCAGUCCAACAUAACUUGCAGCAUCGUUAAAAAAAUAAACAAGGAAAGGAUAUAUCAUUAUAUGUACCCACAAUGAGCUCUCAAAGUACAGAUUAAUAUGUGCCAACUUCUUUGUAAUGUGUCUUUUGUGUCUCCAUGAUAACUUCAGGAUGAAUAUUUUACAUGCUAUUGCUAAGGCCAAAGUCUAUUACCACAUUUUGGCAUUGAUAAAGUGCAUUAACAUGCUGGAAACUUUGCAAGUUUUAAUAUUCCCUGGAAUGUUGGUGUUCAGAUAAUCUUAGAACAAUUGUGAUGUGUGAAUGCCUUCAACUCUACAAGAAUAUUAGACCUAAGUGUCAAGCCAUCCUUAGGAAAGUCAGCCUCCCAUUUUGAGAGCCAUGCCUCUGUUGGAGCAACCAAUGAAGAGAUGUGAAGGAUUUCCUGUAAUUUUAAAUAUAAGAGUGGAAGCGGACAAGAAGAAGCCCAAAGGGAUGCAUUUAUUGAUGAGUUGUUCCAUUGGUAUUUGAACGUUCCCCAUAUAAAAUACUUUCUAAACAUCAGAGCCAGUCUCAGGGGUUGGCAUCACUGGGCCCCUGCCAAGGUCCACACUACAGCCCUGACCAGAGCUUGGAAAAGUUACUUUUUUUGAACUACAACUCC